AUAGAUCCAUAGCCCCACUUGCGACGAUGACUCAGUUCCAGUCACACAAAACGGAAAGGCGACUCGACAUUUUGUCUCAACCCACUUGGAAUUCUGCCACAACCAUUAGCAUGGAUUCGUAUUCAUUUUCCAAAUGCAGUAAGAAUCUAUUGAGUCCAAAUGCAGUCUAAAGCCUGUCUAUUUAAAGGUUUAAAGUUCCCCUAAGAUUAACUAUCGGUCAACAAGUUUCCGCUACAGAUCCUGAAUUAAGUCCUUGUAAUGUAACGGACCUCUCAAAGACAUUUACGAUUCUGUUUUUCCCUCCACCAAAUGGAACAAAGAGUAAGGACAUGUAUUCGGAAGAGAAAAUAUCUAUUUAUCGAUUACAAAUUGGAACCGCUGUCGAAUUCAUACAGUCGAGUGUCAAUUCCCCAGCGAGCGACAAAAAUGUUUCGUUCCUUCGAAGAAAUUCCCACUCUUCUUGCAUCUUACUGCACAUAAAUUGGUGCCUGCACCAACGGAAACGGAUUGACCUUUCAAUGAAAGUAAGUUGCACCAGAGAAAUCAAGUCUCCUGUUUUGCAUGCAUUGAUUCGUCCUGCCACUUUCCGAGUUUUGUAACGCACGUGGGAGGGAAAAUAUCAGUGAAACAAAAACAACAAAAUUACAAGAAGAUCUAUAUAACUAUGGUUUGCGAGUCUAGAGAUUUAAUGUUAACAUUGUUCUGGUCAAUAUUAUUAACGGGUUCUCUUUUGGCCUUUUAAUUGUUUAAAUUGAUGCUACUGUCGAUUCCCUUUUCCUUUCGUGGUGCAAUAUGAAGAUGGGUAAGAACAUGUUUUUCACAAUGAUUCGGGUUUGCGCCUUUUUC
Daphnia pulicaria is the source of this 846-nucleotide long non-coding RNA. RefSeq lists it as uncharacterized. The record is from RefSeq and is a predicted model, not a curated record. NCBI's taxonomy places the organism in Eukaryota, Metazoa, Arthropoda, Branchiopoda, Diplostraca, Daphniidae. The transcript has 3 exons.